GGUUAAGCGAAUAAGCGUACACGGUGGAUGCCUAGGCAAUCAGAGGCGAUGAAGGACGUGCUAAUCUGCGAAAAGCGUCGGUAAGGUGAUAUGAACCGUUAUACCCGACGAUAUCCGAAUGGGGAAACCCAGUAUCCAAUGGAUACUAUCAUUAACUGAAUCCAUAGGUUAAUGAGGCGAACCGGGAGAACUGAAACAUCUCAGUACCCCGAGGAAAAGAAAUCAACCGAGAUUCCCCUAGUAGCGGCGAGCGAACGGGGAGCAGCCCAGAGUCUUAAUCAAUAGCAGUGUCAGGAGAACGGUCUGGAAAGUCCGGCAGUAAAGGGUGAUAGCCCCGUAUCUGAAGAUGCUGUUAUUGUGAACUCGAUGAGUAGGGCGGGACACGUGUUAUCCUGUCUGAAUAUGGGGGGACCAUCCUCCAAGGCUAAAUACUCCUGAUUGACCGAUAGUGAACCAGUACCGUGAGGGAAAGGCGAAAAGAACCCCGGCGAGGGGAGUGAAAAAGAACCUGAAACCGUGUACGUACAAGCAGUAGGAGCCUCUUUAUGGGGUGACUGCGUACCUUUUGUAUAAUGGGUCAGCGACUUAUAUUCUGUAGCAAGGUUAACCGCAUAGGGGAGCCGUAGGGAAACCGAGUCUUAACUGGGCGAAUGAGUUGCAGGGUAUAGACCCGAAACCCGGUGAUCUAUCCAUGGGCAGGUUGAAGGUUGGGUAACACUAACUGGAGGACCGAACCGACUAAUGUUGAAAAAUUAGCGGAUGACUUGUGGAUGGGGGUGAAAGGCCAAUCAAACCGGGAGAUAGCUGGUUCUCCCCGAAAGCUAUUUAGGUAGCGCCUCGUGAACUCAUCUUCGGGGGUAGAGCACUGUUUCGACUAGGGGGUCAUCCCGACUUACCAACUCGAUGCAAACUGCGAAUACCGAAGAAUGUUAUCACGGGAGACACACGGCGGGUGCUAACGUCCGUCGUGAAGAGGGAAACAACCCAGACCGCCAGCUAAGGUCCCAAAGUCAUGGUUAAGUGGGAAACGAAGUGGGAAGGCUCAGACAGCCAGGAUGUUGGCUUAGAAGCAGCCAUCAUUUAAAGAAAGCGUAAUAGCUCACUGGUCGAGUCGGCCCGCGCGGAAGAUGUAACGGGGCUAAACCAUGCACCGAAGCUGCGGCAGCGACACGUAGUGUUGUUGGGUAGGGGAGCGUUCUGUAAGCCUGCGAAGGUGUACUGUGAGGUAUGCUGGAGGUAUCAGAAGUGCGAAUGCUGACAUAAGUAACGAUAAUGCGGGUGAAAAACCCGCACGCCGGAAGACCAAGGGUUCCUGUCCAACGUUAAUCGGGGCAGGGUGAGUCGACCCCUAAGGCGAGGCUGAAAAGCGUAGUCGAUGGGAAACGGGUUAAUAUUCCCGUACUGGUGGUAACUGCGAUGGGGGAACGGAGAAGGCUAGGUUGUCCGGGCGACGGUCGUCCCGGUUCAAGCAGGUAGGCAGAGUGAUUAGGCAAAUCCGGUCACUUAAUGCUGAGAUGUGAUGACGAACCACCAAGGUGGUGAAGCAAUUGAUGCCCCGCUUCCAGGAAAAGCCUCUAAGCUUCAGGUUACCAACAAUCGUACCCCAAACCGACACAGGUGGUCAGGUAGAGAAUACUCAGGCGCUUGAGAGAACUCGGGUGAAGGAACUAGGCAAAAUGGUGCCGUAACUUCGGGAGAAGGCACGCUGGCGGUAGGUAAAGUCCCUUGCGGACGGCGCUGAAGCCAGUCGAAGAUACCAGCUGGCUGCAACUGUUUAUUAAAAACACAGCACUGUGCAAACACGAAAGUGGACGUAUACGGUGUGACGCCUGCCCGGUGCUGGAAGGUUAAUUGAUGGGGUCAGCCGUAAGGCGAAGCUCCUGAUCGAAGCCCCAGUAAACGGCGGCCGUAACUAUAACGGUCCUAAGGUAGCGAAAUUCCUUGUCGGGUAAGUUCCGACCUGCACGAAUGGCGUAAUGAUGGCCAGGCUGUCUCCACCCGAGACUCAGUGAAAUUGAACUCGCUGUGAAGAUGCAGUGUACCCGCGGCAAGACGGAAAGACCCCGUGAACCUUUACUAUAGCUUGACACUGAACAUUGAGCCUUGAUGUGUAGGAUAGGUGGGAGGCUUUGAAGUGUGGACGCCAGUCUGCAUGGAGCCAACCUUGAAAUACCACCCUUUAACGUUUGAUGUUCUAACCUAGGCCCGUGAUCCGGGUCGGGGACCGUGUCUGGUGGGUAGUUUGACUGGGGCGGUCUCCUCCUAAAGAGUAACGGAGGAGCACGAAGGUUGGCUAAGCAUGGUCGGACAUCAUGCGGUUAGUGCAAAGGCAUAAGCCAGCUUGACUGCGAGAGUGACGGCUCGAGCAGGUACGAAAGUAGGUCUUAGUGAUCCGGUGGUUCUGAAUGGAAGGGCCAUCGCUCAACGGAUAAAAGGUACUCCGGGGAUAACAGGCUGAUACCGCCCAAGAGUUCAUAUCGACGGCGGUGUUUGGCACCUCGAUGUCGGCUCAUCACAUCCUGGGGCUGAAGUAGGUCCCAAGGGUAUGGCUGUUCGCCAUUUAAAGUGGUACGCGAGCUGGGUUUAGAACGUCGUGAGACAGUUCGGUCCCUAUCUGCCGUGGGCGUUGGAAGAUUGAGAGGGGUUGCUCCUAGUACGAGAGGACCGGAGUGAACGCACCACUGGUGUUCGGGUUGUCAUGCCAAUGGCAUUGCCCGGUAGCUAAGUGCGGAAGAGAUAACCGCUGAAAGCAUCUAAGCGGGAAACUUGCCUCGAGAUGAGUCUUCCCUGUCGCUUUAAGCGACCUAAAGGAACGUUUAAGACUAAGACGUUGAUAGGCUGGGUGUGUAAGCGUAGCGAUACGUUGAGCUAACCAGUACUAAUGAACCGUGAGGCUUAACCUG
Molecule: ribosomal RNA, 2903 nt
Filed under: Proteus mirabilis
Lineage: Bacteria; Pseudomonadati; Pseudomonadota; Gammaproteobacteria; Enterobacterales; Morganellaceae
Description: 23S ribosomal RNA
Rfam family: Bacterial large subunit ribosomal RNA
Source: RNAcentral